AGGACGAACGCUGGCGGCGUGCUUAACACAUGCAAGUCGAGCGAGGCCCUCCUUACGGGGGGUGCCCUAGCGGCGAACGGGUGAGUAACACGUGGGCAACCUCGUCCCUCUACGCUCUGGGAUAACUCCAAGAAAUUGGUGCUAAUACCGGAUGUCGACCGCUGACCGCAUGGUCUGGUGGUGGAAAGAUUCAUCGGCUGAGGAUGGGCCCGCGG
RNAcentral lists this ribosomal RNA (215 nucleotides) under uncultured bacterium. RNAcentral describes it as "partial 16S ribosomal RNA". It matches the Rfam family "Bacterial small subunit ribosomal RNA", at positions 26 to 236 of the family's 1533-position model. The record is from RNAcentral.